UACGGGGGGGGCAAGCGUUGUUCGGAAUUACUGGGCGUAAAGGGCUCGUAGGCGGCCAACUAAGUCAGACGUGAAAUCCCCAGGCUCAACCUGGGAACUGCGUCUGAUACUGGAUGGCUUGAAUCCGGGAGAGGGAUGCAGAAUUCCAGGUGUAGCGGUGAAAUGCGUAGAUAUCGGGAGGAACACCGGUGGCGAAGGCGGCCUUCUGGACGGAUACUGACGCUGAUACGCGAAAGCGUGGGGAGCAAACAGG
This 253-nucleotide ribosomal RNA is filed under the name uncultured prokaryote. RNAcentral's name for it is "partial 16S ribosomal RNA". It matches the Rfam family "Bacterial small subunit ribosomal RNA", at positions 524 to 776 of the family's 1533-position model. The record is from RNAcentral.